RNAcentral lists this ribosomal RNA (468 nucleotides) under uncultured bacterium. RNAcentral describes it as "partial 16S ribosomal RNA". It matches the Rfam family "Bacterial small subunit ribosomal RNA", at positions 28 to 507 of the family's 1533-position model. The record is from RNAcentral.
GACGAACGCUGGCGGCGUGCUUAACACAUGCAAGUCGAACGGAAAGGCCCUGCUUUUGUGGGGUGCUCGAGUGGCGAACGGGUGAGUAACACGUGAGUAACCUGCCCUUGACUUUGGGAUAACUUCAGGAAACUGGGGCUAAUACCGGAUAGGAGCUCCUGCUGCAUGGUGGGGGUUGGAAAGUUUCGGCGGUUGGGGAUGGACUCGCGGCUUAUCAGCUUGUUGGUGGGGUAGUGGCUUACCAAGGCUUCGACGGGUAGCCGGCCUGAGAGGGUGACCGGCCACAUUGGGACUGAGAGACGGCCCAGACGCCUACGGGAGGCAGCAGUGGGGAAUAUUGCACAAUGGGCGGAAGCCUGAUGCAGCAACGCCGCGUGCGGGAUGACGGCCUUCGGGUUGUAAACCGCUUUCGCCUGAGACGAAGCGUGAGUGACGGUAAUGGGUAAAGAAGCACCGGCUAACUACGUG